RNAcentral lists this ribosomal RNA (776 nucleotides) under uncultured Neocallimastigales. RNAcentral's name for it is "partial large subunit ribosomal RNA". It matches the Rfam family "Eukaryotic large subunit ribosomal RNA", at positions 22 to 646 of the family's 3401-position model. Lineage: Eukaryota; Fungi; Neocallimastigomycota; Neocallimastigomycetes; Neocallimastigales. The record is from RNAcentral.
AUAUCAGUCAUGCAUAGCAUAUCAAUAAGCGGAGGAAAAGAAACUAACUAGGAUUCCCUUAGUAACGGCGAGUGAAGCGGGAAGAGCUCAAAUUUGAAAUCUUCAAGGUUCUACCUUGACGAAUUGUAGUUUAUAGAAGUGUUUUCUGUUAGUAGAGUGGCAAAAGUUCUUUGGAAUAGGACAUCAUAGAGGGUGAGAAUCCCGUAUUUGGUCAUUCUCCUAGCGUUGUGAUACACUUUCAACGAGUCGGAUUGUUUGGGAAUGCAGUCCAAAACUGGGUGGUAAAUUUCAUCUAAAGCUAAAUAUUGGCGAGAGACCGAUAGCGAACAAGUACCGUGAGGGAAAGAUGAAAAGAACUUUGAAAAGAGAGUUAAACAGUACGUGAAAUUGUCAAAAGGGAAGCGUUUGACACCAGUGUUGUUUUUCCGAAAAUCAAUUACGAAUGUUUUGUUUUUGAGGAGUUAUGACUUCAUCGGCUUGCUCCUUUCUUUAUGAAACUUUCUUAAUGCACUUUUCGGUUAACAAGUCAACAUCAAUUUCUUUUGUUGUAAAAGGGUAUGAGGAAGGUGGCUUUCUUUUCGGAGAAAGUGUUUAUAGCCUUGUGCCUCUGCAAUCGGAGAGAUUGAGGUCUGCAGCGUAGAUCCUUCGGAGUUAGAUACAGUUUGUGCUAAGCUAUAGCCUUUUCAUAGACAACUUGUUGACUAUGCUCAGUCAUGUAGCUUACUCGCUGAUGCUAUUUUACCUACGCUUAGGAUGUUGAUGUGAUACUGCGAGCA